RNAcentral lists this long non-coding RNA (650 nucleotides) under Salmo salar (Atlantic salmon). Its description in RNAcentral is "lncRNA (ENSSSAG00000007700.2)". Lineage: Eukaryota; Metazoa; Chordata; Actinopteri; Salmoniformes; Salmonidae. The record is from RNAcentral.
ACAGGGGGUACCGGUACAGAGUCAAUGUGGAGGCUAUAUACAGGGGGUACCGGUACAGAGUCAAUGUGGAGGCUAUAUACAGGGGGCUACCGGUACAGAGUCAAUGUGGAGGCUAUAUACAGGGGGGUACCGGUACAGAGUCAAUGUGGAGGCUAUAUACAGGGGGUACCGGUACAGAGUAAAUGUGGAGGCUAUAUACAGGGGGUACCGGUACUGAGUCAAUGUGGAGGCUAUAUACAGGGGGUACCGGUACAGAGUCAAUGUGGAGGCUAUAUACAGGGGGUACCAGGACUGAGUCAAUGUGGAGGCUAUAUACAGGGUAUUACGGUACAGAGUCAAUGUGGAGGCUAUAUACAGGGGGUACCGGUACAGAGUCAAUGUGGAGGCUAUAUACAGGGUAUUACGGUACAGAGUCAAUGUGGAGGCUAUAUACAGGGGGUACCGGUACAGAGUCAAUGUGGAGGCUGUAUACAGGGGGUACCGGUACAGAGUCAAUGUGGAGGCUAUAUACAGGGGGUACCGGUACAGAGUCAAUGUGGAGGCUAUAUACAGGGGGUACCGGUACAGAGUCAAUGUGGAGGCUAUAUACAGGGGGUACCGGUACAGAGGCAAUGUGGAGGCUGUAUACAGGGGGUACCAGGACUGAGUCA